AUUGAACGCUGGCGGCAGGCCUAACACAUGCAAGUCGAACGAGUGGCGGACGGGAGAGUAAUGUCUGGGAAACUGCCUGAUGGAGGGGGAUAACUACUGGAAACUGUAGCUAAUACCGGAUACCAUAGAAUGUACCAAGAUGGGAUUAGUUAGUUGGGGGGGAAACGGCACACCAAGGCGAAGAUCUCUAGCUGGGCCGAGAGGAAGACCAGCCACACUGGGACCGGGACACGGUCCAGACUCCAACGGGAGGCAGCAGUGGGGAAUAUUGCACAAUGGGCGCAAGCCUGAUGCAGCCAUGCCGCGUGUAUGAAGAAGGCCUUCGGGUUGUAAAGUACUUUCAGCGGGGAGGCGUUACCCGCAGAAGAAGCACCGGCUAACUCCGUGCCAGCAGCCGCGGUAAUUC
This 406-nucleotide ribosomal RNA is filed under the name uncultured bacterium. RNAcentral's name for it is "partial 16S ribosomal RNA". It matches the Rfam family "Bacterial small subunit ribosomal RNA", at positions 29 to 526 of the family's 1533-position model. The record is from RNAcentral.